This 458-nucleotide ribosomal RNA is filed under the name uncultured bacterium. RNAcentral describes it as "partial 16S ribosomal RNA". It matches the Rfam family "Bacterial small subunit ribosomal RNA", at positions 338 to 795 of the family's 1533-position model. The record is from RNAcentral.
CCUACGGGGGGCAGCAGUGAGGAAUAUUGGUCAAUGGGCGAGAGCCUGAACCAGCCAAGUCGCGUGAGGGAGUACUGCCCUAUGGGUUGUAAACCUCUUUUGUCGGGGAGCAAAAGCCGGACGUGUCCGGCUGUGAGAGUACCCGAAGAAAAAGCAUCGGCUAACUCCGUGCCAGCAGCCGCGGUAAUACGGAGGAUGCGAGCGUUAUCCGGAUUUAUUGGGUGUAAAGGGUGCGCAGGCGGAUUUUUAAGUCAGCGGUAAAAUCGUGGGGCUCAACCCCAUCCAGCCGUUGAAACUGGGGAUCUUGAGUAUGUUUGAGGCAGGCGGAAUGCGUGGUGUAGCGGUGAAAUGCUUAGAUAUCACGCAGAACCCCGAUUGCGAAGGCAGCCUGCCAAGCCAUGACUGACGCUGAUGCACGAAAGCGUGGGGAUCAAACAGGAUUAGAUACCCCUGUAGUC